GCCUAAGGCCAUACCACCCUGAACAUGCCCAAUGUCAUCUGAUCUUGGAAGCUAAACAGGUUCGGGCCUGGUUAUAGUACUUGGAUGGGAGACACAUAUAUCCAAAUACCACAUUGUAGGGACGCCUGGGUGGGCA
Molecule: ribosomal RNA, 136 nt
Filed under: Vulpes vulpes (red fox)
Lineage: Eukaryota; Metazoa; Chordata; Mammalia; Carnivora; Canidae
Source: RNAcentral